RNAcentral lists this ribosomal RNA (256 nucleotides) under uncultured bacterium. Its description in RNAcentral is "partial 16S ribosomal RNA". It matches the Rfam family "Bacterial small subunit ribosomal RNA", at positions 524 to 776 of the family's 1533-position model. The record is from RNAcentral.
GACGUAGGUGGCGAACGUUAUCCGGAAUUAUUGGGCGUAAAGGGUGCGUAGGUGGCCUGGCAAGUUAUUAGUGGUAAAUCGAAGCUCAACCUCGUGGAAACUAGUAAUACUGUUCGGCUUGAGUGCAGGAGAGGUUAACGGAACUCUAUGUGGAGGGGUAAAAUCCAUAGAUAUAUGGAUGAACAUCAAUAACGGCGAAGGCAGUUAACUAUUCUGUUACUGACACUGAGGCACGAAAGCGUGGGGAGCAAAACGG